RNAcentral lists this long non-coding RNA (1011 nucleotides) under Capsella grandiflora. RNAcentral describes it as "long non-coding RNA (CGRA_LNC001674)". The record is from RNAcentral. Lineage: Eukaryota; Viridiplantae; Streptophyta; Magnoliopsida; Brassicales; Brassicaceae.
ACUUCAUUGCUGAUCAAAACAACAAUUCUAUAGAUUCUAACUCGUUUAGAGGGAGUAAAGAUGGGGAUGAUACCGAGGUUGUGCUCAAACAGAAUCCUAAACCUGUGUUGAAACCCCCUAUGCCAAGGGUGGAAAGAGGUUUGGGGUCGAAUACUGCUCCUUGGACUAAGGAUUUAUCCAAUGGGGGUAAGUUUGAUGGCGAAGAAGAGAGGAAUAAGGUUAUUGAAUCUCUUGGUGAUGUGUUAGAUAAAGCUGAGAAAUUGGAAAUACCGAAACCAGGUAAUAGAGAAGGUGUUGAGGCUGUUAAACCGUCACCGCCUACUGCCAGCAGUAGUAACUCGAAAAAUGGUAGCUAUGCGAGUGCUGGAGCCACAAGGAAGACGAAAACUAUGAAGAGUGUGUGGCGUAAGGGAGAUGCUGUCUCUGCUGUGCAAAAAGUUGUUAAGGAAUCACCUAAAAUUGAUAAUAGAGGAAUGCAGGUCGAACCUAGAACAAAAGAAGAGGAAGAGGCCAAUGCCAAAGCAGGCGCUCAAUUGGCACCACCUCAGCCACCUUUUAGACCUCAACCUCCUGUAAGACCCCAGCCAAUGUUACAAGGGAAGCCUAUGGUAGCUCAACCACCCGUCAAGAAAUCACCCAUCUUAAAAGAUCUUGGUAUGGCACCAAAACCUCCAGUUUCUCAAGAAGUUGAUUCUAGCAUUAAAAGUAAAGAAAGGAAGCCUAUUUUGGUUGACAAAUUUGCUUCCAAGAAAAAGGCUGUUGAUGCUGUGGCCUCUCAGGCUGUGUUAGCUCCUACGAAGCCUGGAAAGGGUCCUCCCUCUAACAAGUUCAGGGUUGAGCACCGUAAUAAAAAAAAUGCAUCAGCUAGCCCAAGACGAAGAAUUGUUGCUGAAGAUGACGGAGAUGAAGAUACAUCCAUUUCUAGAUCAGGUAGAAAAGGGAGAAAAUGGAGUAAAGCGAGUAGGAAGGCUGUAAGACUCCAGGCUGCAAAAGACGCUGCACCUGUCAAAG